RNAcentral lists this long non-coding RNA (829 nucleotides) under Physcomitrium patens. RNAcentral's name for it is "long non-coding RNA (PPAT_LNC008647)". The record is from RNAcentral. Lineage: Eukaryota; Viridiplantae; Streptophyta; Bryopsida; Funariales; Funariaceae.
CUAUCACUUGUUAAUGAAUCAAUACCAAAAAAUUCUAACCAAUCUUUCUAAUCAAUCAUGGAUUAGAUUAAAAAGGUAAGAUCACAAGUAUAGGUUCUAUUUUAAUUUAAUACUUCCUAGUCCUAAAAGAAAGAAUUACAAAUCCUAAACAAAUCCUAAUCAAAUCCUAAUCAAAUCCUAAAAAAAUCCGAAAUAAAUCGUAACUGAACUCUAAUCAAAUUCUAAACAAAAUCUAAACAAACCUUAAUCAAAUCCUGAUCAAUUCCUAAACAUAUCCUAACCAAAUCGUAAAUAAUUCCAAGUAAUCUUAUAACAGAUUUAAACCUCAAUAAUUAAUCAAUGAACCAUUGAUUUUAACUCAAAAUUUGCAUACUUUUCAAAAAUUAAUUUGACAAUAAGCACAAAAUUUUUGAAGAUCGAAGUCACCAAAAAGAAGAUCGACCCUAAUAUUUACUCAGAUGUUGGCUAGUCUCCUUUUCCAAUCUGAAUGUUGAAUUUUUAAUACUAAUAUCUCCUUAUCAAACCAUUCAAUUGAUCUCAAAUUUCUCAUAUAUGUAGGAAAAUAAGUCUACAAUCCAUACACAUAAUUUUCACUCCACUUCAACUAAUAGAUUACAAGAAAUCUUAGAAAUCCUUAUUUGACCUAAAACUCUAUUUUUUAGACCGUAACCCACUUAAACCUCAAUAAUCCUCAAUCCAAUUUUUUGAUCAAGCUCAAACUCACAACAUAUAUUGAACACAUAUAAACCCACAAACCUUCAAACUUUCAUCUAUGGAUCUAUUGCCAAACUUACAAAGUUCUCCAAAAGGUAUCUCCCUUUUUAUUUCA